Molecule: small RNA, 22 nt
Filed under: Arabidopsis thaliana (thale cress)
Lineage: Eukaryota; Viridiplantae; Streptophyta; Magnoliopsida; Brassicales; Brassicaceae
Description: ATSL188170
Source: RNAcentral
CAAAAAAAGAAGAAGAAAAAAG